Molecule: ribosomal RNA, 253 nt
Filed under: uncultured bacterium
Lineage: Bacteria
Description: partial 16S ribosomal RNA
Rfam family: Bacterial small subunit ribosomal RNA
Source: RNAcentral
UACGUAGGUGGCAAGCGUUGUCCGGAUUUACUGGGCGUAAAGAGCGCGCAGGCGGUCGGUCAAGUCUCGUGUGAAAGCCCCCGGCUCAACUGGGGAGGGUCACGCGAUACUGAUCGACUCGAAGGCAGGAGAGGGUAGUGGAAUUCCCGGUGUAGUGGUGAAAUGCGUAGAUAUCGGGAGGAACACCAGUGGCGAAGGCGACUACCUGGCCUGUUACUGACGCUGAGGCGCGAAAGCUAGGGGAGCAAACGGG